AGGUUUCUAGGCAACCGUGACAUAUCCUCCAUUGUGACACUGCUGGAUGAUUUACCAGAGGCCUUUGGUAGGAGUAGGCCUUUGAGGGGAGAGAGAGACAGAGAGAGAGAAGGAGAAAGUGUGUUACAGAGCAAGUUGGGGAGUUAACUCAUUAAGGAGUUAUUGCAUGAGAGCGUUAUUAUGUAAGUUACAGAGUCAUAGUAUUAAGAGUGUUGCCGUGUUAAAGAGGGAAAGUGAUACAGAAAAAUAUCUUUUGAAAUUUAGGUAGGAUUUCUUAGUGGUUUCUGUACUCUGGUUCUAUAACUAUCCAUGAAAACUCACAGUCAGAUGAGACCAUCCUUUUCCUGUCAUGGCUGGAUUAUUUUCAAAACAUUUUCCUUGUGACCAGUUUAAAUGCUUCAGGUAAAUUGGCUUGCCUUGCCUUUUCUUUAGUGGACAUACUCGGAACAAGGGCAUGUCCAUGUUUCGGAGGGGCUUUUGACAAGAUGUCCUCAGUGUGUCUAACUCCUUGCUGCUCCACAAGCUGCUAAUGACAGGUAAUUCAUUAAAAAGCUUGAAGCGUUAGGUGCAUGAAUACACUGCAACCCUUCUCCCUGCUCUGUCCUAAGUUGCCAAAGCUUUGGAACCUCAUAAAAAGCAGCAUGCCAAGGAUGAGUCCUCCAAACUUAGGAGGAUUUCUUUUUUCCAAAUAAAGAGCUCUGCAAAGAUGGAGAAGAAAAUCAAUUUCUGGCAUUGCUACUGAAAGUCCAUCUCUUGGCCCGUAUGUUUGAGCCCAAACUCUGUGUCGUUUUUGAGUGACCCAGUGCAGUAGGAAUGGAAAGGACUGGCUCAGAUUCCUCAGGUAAGGAAGUUAAUUAUGCUGAUGGAGAAUUGUUGUAAGGGCAACAAGAAUCUGCCUAAUUGGGCAAGAAGGAGGCAUGCCUCUGAUUCAAGAAGAGUUCAGAAUACUUUCACUUGACUUGCCAUGGAAAGAGGCAGAGAACACUUUCCUCGCUGCCUUUGAGGUGAAAGCAUGGCACUUAGUUAAUGUGGUGCAGGGGUCUCUAAUAUGAACAAUUAGUACAUUAAGCACUAAACAAAUUGAGGUUACAAUCCUAUAAGCACAUCACUGCUAGUGUACCCAAUGACAUGUUUCUUCAGGAGUAAGUGAGACUUCUGAGUAUACUGUAUAAGCACAGGAUGGGUCUUCGGUUGCUUGAUUUUAAGAGAGCAGUGAUAAACUGUGCCAUUAGAUGGCAGUGUUUUACAUUCUAUAGUAGUUGCAUCUAUGCUGAGCUAUUUUCUUUUAGAGACCCAUAGCUUUCUUGACUUAAAAUAGCAUCCUUCUUCUGGUAUUCAUUAUAUGGAAAAUCUCAGCUUUAAAGUCUUUUUCCAUCUUUACAGAAAGUACAGGCAAAGAUUUGUUCCAAGGGUUUGGGUCUAUUUCCCCCCCCCCUUUAUGAUUGUGUUAAUCACUUUAAAAUUAAUAUAGUAAACCUCAGUUCCAUGCAAGUACAUUAUGAAACCUGUUGGCUUUAGCAAGAAUGGGGGUCAUGGGACUGAGCUAAUAAAGUAGGGAGGAAAGCCUUGCUUCAUACUAAUCUGCUUGAUAGAGUAGAGGAUAAAGGAAUGGAGAUGGCAACAAAGCAUAUUCAGAUAUUUUGGCAAUAAAUUCUAUUGCAAUUCCCUGCUGCCAUGGAGUUCCUGUUCUCUAUAACUUGAAUGGUGAAGUGAGUGCUCCUUCAAAGGGAGCAAAUGACCAAAACAUCCAAAUGUAUGUGUAAGUUGUGGGAAGAUGCUCCUUUCAUGCAUGCUGUGGGGAUUCCAGCUUGCAUAUGUUGAACCCCCUCCCCUGCCAGUAGAUUGCUUUACAUGGACAGAAUUAAACACCAUAUGAACAUCACUGGUGCACUAUUAGAGUGUUGUUGCUGUGCUAUAGAGAAAGUCAGAAGUGAGGGAAGGUUCAGCCACAGUUAUGUCCUUUUAAGACCCAUCUGGAUAUCUCAGUUGGUUAGAGCGUGGUGCUGAUAACACCAAGGUUGCAGGUUUGAUCCCUGUAUGGGACAUCUGCAUAUUCCUGCAUUGCUGGAGAUGAUCCUCAGGGUCCCUUCCAACUCUACAAUUCUCCGAUUCUAUGAUCAAUGGAAAGGUGAGAAUGUGCUGAAGAGUGCGGUCCGAAACACUUAUUAAGAAAUAAUCUCCAUCUCUCUAUCUCUAUCCAGGGUCAGGUAAAAAAAUGGGUCAGGUAAAGUACAUCAAUUAAACUUAUAAAUACAACAGCCAGUUGUGACAAUUUCUGUAAAUUUAUAGUGACCAUAUCCAGUCAGUUUACAAGGCCCAAAGCCAGAGUCAUAAUCAGCACUUUGAAUUGUGCCUGGAAACAGACUAGUAGUCAAUGAAGCUGUUGUAACAUGGGAGUUGCAUGCUUCCUAUAAUAAGCCCUGGGCAAUAGUCCGGCUGUAGCAUUCUUAACUGACUGAAUUUUCUGAGCACCCUUCAAAGAGAGCCUCAUUUAAAGGACCUUACAAGUGCUUUAAAAUCCAAACAAGUUAUACCUAAGGCAUAUGUCACUCUGGCCAGCAUAAAAGAAAGUUCACCACCUCUUUGUGUCAAAUUUGGUCCUGUCCAGUAUUCAUCAAUGACAAUAGUGCCAGCAGGAGCUUUAGGAUGAUAAAUGGGAUGAAUAUCACACCUUUCCAGCCCCCCCCCAAAUGAUUGCUAAUCAUACCAUUAAUUCAACUUAAAGUUAAGACCUUAAUGUGUUGGCAUCCUGAGAGAGCAAGCAAAGCAUCAAUGAUGGUGAUACAGAGCUGGAUCUCAGUUAAUGUUUCUAUUUUGAAUUUAUGUAGGGUGACUUUGAAGCAUUCUUAAUUUUAUUUUAAAUUAGUUAAUCCUCUGGCCCAUUCAGCAGAUUUUUUAAACUAGUCUUUUCCCUGAUUUCUUCUAGCCUGAGGACAAUCAGUGUUUGGCUAUUUUCCACAUAACAUUUUUUCCUGCUAUUUCCCUUCCCUAGUUCUCUUAAUCCCAGAAAUAUUAAGUCUAAUUCUACCAUUGUUGUCACUUCAUCUUCCUCCUUUUUUUGCCAAAUGCCCACAAUCUCUAAUAUUUAUGCUUGGGUUUUAAUUUACUGAUAGGACAAAAAUCUUUUAGAGCUGUACUUAACAUUUUUUAUUGAUUGCAGGCUACUAUAUGGUUUUAAUUUGCAUUCCAGGCAUUUUUAAAAACAGCUUUAACAUGCUCUUGAAUUCCUGUCAUUCCGUUUUGUUUCUUUUCUACUUGAAGGUGUGAUCUAAUCUUUUCUGCCUUUGUCCUCCCCAACUAAAUGAUUGAAGGGGGCACUGUGGAGAUGUCUAAUUUGGAAGCCCUAGUUAAAGGGCUUGUUUAUGUUGUUGAUUUAAACCAUUGACAAGAAAGCCCCAGGACCAAAUUCUGCCAGCAGCUGAAGAGGAAAUUGCUGAUUUCCCCAAGUACCUCUAAUGAAGGAGAAGCCAAUAUAGUUAUCUGGUUCUUUUCAUUGUCCACACCCCUCUACGAAAGCACAGAAUUUUAAAUGUCCCCUAUUACAUCCCCACUGGAGGUCAAAAAAGCAUGACUAGUAAGGUUAUUUUGUUAUGCAACAAAGCUACAUUUACAAAAUAAUUUAGGGUUCAAUUUUAAACUUGUGAGCCAUAGAUUAAGAGGCCAUCGGAUUUGGUGGAAGCCCUGCUAUGCUGACAGUGGCUCACCUCAUAUGUAUAUGUGGCUUCCACAUAUGCAUGAAGGAAGCCUUCAAGCUGGGCAUGAGCACAUCAGCACCCUGCUCACCACUCUGCCAGAUACACCAGAGGAAUGACUAACAUACGGUAGAGAUGUGGGUGAGACAUGGGUGGCAUAGAGGAAGGGCAUAUUUAUACCAUAUCCUAGCAAUCAUCCAGGACAUCCUGGGCAGCUUCCACUAGGCUCUGCUUGCUUAGGCAUGGGAGAUGAUGUUGACAUCUGAAGGCUUAAAAAACCUGACAGGGCCUCCCCUUCUAGUGGCUCUGUCUCCUAGAAAGAGCUGUACGCUGUCAUGGUCUGGUUCACGGGUAAUCAAAGUCCUGGCUGGGGAUGUUGGGACCGGGGGCAAGAUGGCGGGGUGGGAGCAGGAACGGGACACCAGAAGCCAGGAGUCAGAAAGUCAGGGGUCCGAGGAUCAAGAAGCAAGGAGUCAAGGAACCAAACACAACAAGGCAGGGAACGAGUUGCUGUGGCAAAGAGCCGAAGGGAAAUGCUGACCUUAUAUCCUUCCCAGCUCUUGCCACCAGGUGCUGUGAGUUACCAAACGGCCUUACCUGUGCAGCCACGCCUUGCCUCUUCAGAACAAACUUAGGAAGGCCCCAGUCCUGCAAAGUCCUACUGGUCACAGGGCGUGGCUCCUGCACGCGCUCCUCACAUAUGCUGCCUUUAAAGUCACAUGUUCUUGCAUGGUUAUGGAGCUGGGGAAGCUUUUGGGGAGUCAUUCUCAGAUCUGAGGGUGAUGAGAAAGCCACACCAUCAGGCUAGGCACUGCGGUGUCAGAGAGUGGCAGCAACUAGUUCAGAAUCUGAGUCCACUUCAGGCAAACAUUGGGGCCCUAUCACUAGGGAUAUGACAAAAAUGUCUUCAUGGAAGUCUAAUACAAGACUCCUUGAACAGAAGAGAACCAGACAGUCAUUUUUUCAGUGAAUAUAUAUAGCCAGAUUAUUACUUUCCUCCCAGCCUUUUAUUGCCUGGUCUUUAGACCCACAGACAGGACCACAGACUUUCUGAAUAGAUUACAAAGGGGAAAUGUCUCAGCACUUGCCUUGGUCAGACAGAAGCCUGGAGCAGGGAAUGAUGUAAACGAUUGGUCUCUCCAUUUGUGAGGUGUGUAUACAUUCUAUUCAGUUCACCUCAUAACUAAAAAAAGAAGCUGACAGAUCUGGAACACAAAGAGAAGGAAACAGCCCAGAUGUUCUCAUUAUGGUUACUAUUUAGGAGCAAACCAUGAUAUAAUGAAGUUCAUACCAGCCAACAUUUUGCAAAUAAAAAUAGGGCCAGGCUUGGAAGAAGCAUCCCAGUUUUCAUAACAAAUAUCACCCCCUCCACAUUAUUAAAGGCUCUUCAGUGCCUGAUGUACAGUGCAUUGGUUUGUUUUGCAAUAGCCUAUCUUCCACUGUAUAGACAGCUCUGAGCCCUUAAGAAACACAAUACCAUUAGUCCCCUUUGGGUUCUGCCCCUUUCUCCUUGCAUUUCACUCCUUCCAUCUGCUUGGUGCUUUAAUAUCCUUGUGCCUAUAGGUCCAUAUAUAAGCCUUAAGAAGAGCCCUGCUUGAUUAAGUCAAGGGCCCAUCUAGGCUAGCAUUCUGUUCUCACAGAGGCCAACCAGAUGUCCUUGGACGCUCACAAGCAGUACCUGAGUGCAACAUCUCUCUUCCCACCUGUAUUUCCCAGCGGCUGAUAUUCAGAGAUAAGACAAGAUCAGAGGCAGAUUUAGGGCAGUGCAACUGGUUCUUCUGCACUGGGUGCCAAGCCUAGGGGGCAUUGCAGGGCAUCACAACUAUGAAUUGAGCAUAACAGAAGGCAAAAGGCACGGGGCUGCUAAAUUUUGGCCUCACACAGGGC
RNAcentral lists this transfer RNA (5579 nucleotides) under Podarcis lilfordi (Lilford's wall lizard). The stretch from base 1979 to 2037 matches the Rfam family "tRNA", at positions 8 to 63 of the family's 71-position model. The record is from RNAcentral. Lineage: Eukaryota; Metazoa; Chordata; Lepidosauria; Squamata; Lacertidae.